RNAcentral lists this ribosomal RNA (340 nucleotides) under uncultured bacterium. Its description in RNAcentral is "bacterial SSU rRNA". It matches the Rfam family "Bacterial small subunit ribosomal RNA", at positions 28 to 372 of the family's 1533-position model. The record is from RNAcentral.
GACGAACGCUGGCGGCGUGCAUAACACAUGCAAGUCAAGGGGGUCAGUAGCAAUACUGGCAACCGGCGAACGGGUGCGGAACACGUACAGAACCUUCCUUUAAGCGGGGGAUAGCCCGGAGAAAUCCGGAUUAAUACCCCAUAUUAAUGUUUAAUGGCAUCAUUAGAUAUUUAAAGAUUUAUCACUUAAAGAUGGCUGUGCGGCUGAUUAGGUAGUUGGUGUGGGUAACGGCCCACCAAGCCAUCGAUCAGUAACUGGUGUGAGAGCACGACCAGUCACACGGGCACUGAGACACGGGCCCGACUCCUACGGGAGGCAGCAGUAAGGAAUAUUGGUCAAU